Molecule: ribosomal RNA, 786 nt
Filed under: Enterococcus faecium
Lineage: Bacteria; Bacillati; Bacillota; Bacilli; Lactobacillales; Enterococcaceae
Description: bacterial SSU rRNA
Rfam family: Bacterial small subunit ribosomal RNA
Source: RNAcentral
CAGGACGAACGCUGGCGGCGUGCCUAAUACAUGCAAGUCGAACGCUUCUUUUUCCACCGGAGCUUGCUCCACCGGAAAAAGAGGAGUGGCGAACGGGUGAGUAACACGUGGGUAACCUGCCCAUCAGAAGGGGAUAACACUUGGAAACAGGUGCUAAUACCGUAUAACAAUCRAAACCGCAUGGUUUUGAUUUGAAAGGCGCUUUCGGGUGUCGCUGAUGGAUGGACCCGCGGUGCAUUAGCUAGUUGGUGAGGUAACGGCUCACCAAGGCCACGAUGCAUAGCCGACCUGAGAGGGUGAUCGGCCACAUUGGGACUGAGACACGGCCCAAACUCCUACGGGAGGCAGCAGUAGGGAAUCUUCGGCAAUGGACGAAAGUCUGACCGAGCAACGCCGCGUGAGUGAAGAAGGUUUUCGGAUCGUAAAACUCUGUUGUUAGAGAAGAACAAGGAUGAGAGUAACUGUUCAUCCCUUGACGGUAUCUAACCAGAAAGCCACGGCUAACUACGUGCCAGCAGCCGCGGUAAUACGUAGGUGGCAAGCGUUGUCCGGAUUUAUUGGGCGUAAAGCGAGCGCAGGCGGUUUCUUAAGUCUGAUGUGAAAGCCCCCGGCUCAACCGGGGAGGGUCAUUGGAAACUGGGAGACUUGAGUGCAGAAGAGGAGAGUGGAAUUCCAUGUGUAGCGGUGAAAUGCGUAGAUAUAUGGAGGAACACCAGUGGCGAAGGCGGCUCUCUGGUCUGUAACUGACGCUGAGGCUCGAAAGCGUGGGGAGCAAACAGGAUUAGA